This 97-nucleotide ribosomal RNA is filed under the name Acanthosepion pharaonis. The record is from RNAcentral. Lineage: Eukaryota; Metazoa; Mollusca; Cephalopoda; Sepiida; Sepiidae.
UUGAAUUACCAGCUCCUGUACGAUCACCGAAGUUAAGCAACGUCGAGCCUGGUCAGUACCUAGAUGGGUGACCGCUUGUGAAUACCAGGUGUUGUAA